UACGUAGGUCCCGAGCGUUGUCCGGAUUUAUUGGGCGUAAAGCGAGCGCAGGUGGUUUAAUAAGUCUGAUGUAAAAGGCAGUGGCUCAACCAUUGUAUGCAUUGGAAACUGGUAGACUUGAGUGCAGGAGAGGAGAGUGGAAUUCCAUGUGUAGCGGUGAAAUGCGUAGAUAUCGGGAGGAACGCCGGUGGCGAAGGCGGCUUCCUGGCCCGUUACUGACGCUGAGGCACGAAAGCCAGGGGAGCGAACCGG
RNAcentral lists this ribosomal RNA (252 nucleotides) under uncultured microorganism. Its description in RNAcentral is "partial 16S ribosomal RNA". It matches the Rfam family "Bacterial small subunit ribosomal RNA", at positions 524 to 776 of the family's 1533-position model. The record is from RNAcentral.